This 957-nucleotide ribosomal RNA is filed under the name Neoaquastroma guttulatum. RNAcentral describes it as "SSU rRNA". It matches the Rfam family "Eukaryotic small subunit ribosomal RNA", at positions 92 to 1058 of the family's 1831-position model. Lineage: Eukaryota; Fungi; Ascomycota; Dothideomycetes; Pleosporales. The record is from RNAcentral.
AAUGGCUCAUUAAAUCAGUUAUCGUUUAUUUGAUAGUACCUUACUACUUGGAUAACCGUGGUAAUUCUAGAGCUAAUACAUGCUGAAAACCCCGACUUCGGGAGGGGUGUAUUUAUUAGAUAAAAAACCAAUGCCCUCCGGGGCUUUUUGGUGAUUCAUGAUAACUUCUCAGAUCGCAUGGCCUUGCGCCGGCGACGGUUCAUUCAAAUUUCUGCCCUAUCAACUUUCGAUGGUGAGGUAUUGGCUUACCAUGGUUUCAACGGGUAACGGGGAAUUAGGGUUCGAUUCCGGAGAGCGAGCCUAAGAGAUGGCUAACACAUCCAAGGAAGGCAGCAGGCGCGCAAAUUACCCAAUGCCAACACGGCGAGGUAGCGACAAUAAAUACUGAUACAGGGCUCUUUUGGGUCUUGUAAUUGGAAUGAGUACAAUUUAAACCUCUUAACGAGGAACAAUUGGAGGGCAAGUCUGGUGCCAGCAGCCGCGGUAAUUCCAGCUCCAAUAGCGUAUAUUAAAGUUGUUGCAGUUAAAAAGCUCGUAGUUGAACCUUUGGCCUGGCUGGCAGGUCCGCCUCACCGCGUGCACUCGUCCGGCCGGGCCUUCUCUUCUGGAGAACCUCAUGCCCUUCACUGGGUGUGCUGGGGACCAGGACUUUUACUUUGAAAAAAUUAGAGUGUUCAAAGCAGGCCUUUGCUCGAAUAUGUUAGCAUGGAAUAAUGGAAUAGGACGUGUGGUCCUAUUUUGUUGGUUUCUAGGACCGCCGUAAUGAUUAAAAGGGACAGUCGGGGGCAUCAGUAUUCGAUUGUCAGAGGUGAAAUUCUUGGAUUUAUCGAAGACUAACUACUGCGAAAGCAUUUGCCAAGGAUGUUUUCAUUAAUCAGUGAACGAAAGUUAGGGGAUCGAAGACGAUCAGAUACCGUCGUAGUCUUAACCAUAAACUAUGCCAGCUAGGGAUCGGGC